RNAcentral lists this ribosomal RNA (406 nucleotides) under uncultured bacterium. RNAcentral describes it as "partial 16S ribosomal RNA". It matches the Rfam family "Bacterial small subunit ribosomal RNA", at positions 30 to 526 of the family's 1533-position model. The record is from RNAcentral.
AUUGAACGCUGGCGGCAGGCUUAACACAUGCAAGUCGAGCGAGUGGCGGACGGGUGAGUAAUGUCUGGGAAACUGCCUGAUGGAGGGGGAUAACUACUGGUAACGGUAGCUAAUACCGCUUACCAUCAGCUGUGCCCAGAUGGGAUUAGCGAGUAGUUGGGGUAAUGGCUCACCUAGGCGACGCUCCCUAGCUGGUCUGAGAGUAUGACCAGCCAAACUGGAACUGAGACACGGUCCAGACUCCUACGGGAGGCAGCAGUGGGGAAUAUUGCACAAUGGGCGCAAGCCUGAUGCAGCAAUGCCGCGUGUGUGAAGAAGGCCGUCGGUUUGUAAAGCACUUUCAGCGAGGAGGCGUUACUCGCAGAAGAAGCACCGGCUAACUCCGUGCCAGCAGCCGCGGUAAUAC